This 1089-nucleotide long non-coding RNA is filed under the name Homo sapiens (human). RNAcentral's name for it is "non-protein coding lnc-CXCL12-1:3". Lineage: Eukaryota; Metazoa; Chordata; Mammalia; Primates; Hominidae. The record is from RNAcentral.
CUGGAGGCCAGGGCUGAGGGAAGGCCUGGAGCAGAGCCGGUGCGCGACCUCGCAGUGAGCAGGGAGGGCAGGCUGGGGACGUUCACCACCCAGAACGCCUCUGCUCCCCGCAACCCUGAGACUCCAGGCUCCCCUGUUCCUCCCUCCGGGAGACCCUGCCCGUCCUCCCCGCGGGGCUCCUUCGCAGUUCGGGGGAAGGGACGGGUUGCGUCCUCGGGACCUUUCUCUGCAGCCACAGCAGCGCAUCCCAGCACCUCCUCCAGGAGCCCCGCCACCUCCUGCCACCCGGACUUUCCCCACAGCGCAGCGUCCCCUCGUCCUCUCAGGGCUGGAACAGCGGUACCCGCAGACAGUGCAAAAGGGAAGUCCCUGUUGCCUUCCCAUGCAAACUGUAGGGCGCUUACAGCUGCUGGGAGAGGAAAGGAAAGAAGAAAUACAAGCCUGUGACCCGGAUCCAACCCGCGGCGCACAGACCCCGGCUCUGGGCACCCCUGGUGAGCGCCUUCUGCGCCAGAGCUCCGUACAGCACCAGCCCGCGCUCUCCCCCAGCUUCUGUUCAUUUGCUGCAGUCCUGACGGGUCAGUUGCCUGAGCAUCCAUGCUGCCAUCCAUACAAACCCAGGCACGCAGAGAUGUACAUCCUUUACCCAGGGUGACACCAUGUGGAGCUGAAUCCAAGUCCGGGAGUCUGAUGACCGUGUCUGGGCUCUGACCGCGCAGCCGUCUCACAGUGAAACAAAUUGCGGACUGGCCUUGUCCUGAGUGGCCUUAGGAAGCUGCAGUGGCCUGCAGUCUCCUGGCCAGUCUGUAGAAUUUGGCAAAGAUGAGGCACCUUAUAGCCUUACAUGUUCUUAUUUUUCUUUCCUUUUCUCUUCUUUAUUUUCUUUUUUAAGGAUUUGAAUUAGUAUAUGUAAAGUGCUUAACGCAGGAGCUGGCAGAGAAAGUGGAUACUCAGUAAAUAACAGCAAUUGUUAAUUGUAAAAAGCAUGCCACUUAUCUGGUAAAAUCCCCCAUUCUAAGCACCCUGUUAAGUAGUUGGUAAUUCCUCACUUGAAAGAAAUUAAAAAGAAUUUUUGUCAGUUUUUUAAAA